UUUAAAUGGCCGCAGUAUACUAACUGUGCAAAGGUAGCAUAAUCAUUAGUCUUUUAAUUGAAGGCUGGUAUGAAUGGUUGGACGAGAUAUUAACUGUUUCAUAAAAAUUUAUAUUAGAAUUUUAUUUUUUAGUCAAAAAGCUAAAAUUUAUUUAAAAGACGAGAAGACCCUAUAAAUCUUUAUAUUUAAAUUAUUGUAAUUUUAUAGAUUUUUUUUGUUGUAAUAGUUAAUAAUAUUUUAUUGGGGUGAUAUUAAAAUUUAAUAAACUUUUAAUUGUUUAAAAUCAUUAAUUUAUGAAUAAUUGAUCCGUUAUUAACGAUUAAAAAACUAAGUUACUUUAGGGAUAACAGCGUAAUUUUUUUGGAGAGUUCAUAUCGAUAAAAAAGAUUGCGACCUCGAUGUUGGAUUAAGAUAUAAUUUUAGGUGUAGCAGCUUAAAC
Molecule: ribosomal RNA, 439 nt
Filed under: Gimnomera tarsea
Lineage: Eukaryota; Metazoa; Arthropoda; Insecta; Diptera; Scathophagidae
Description: partial 16S ribosomal RNA
Rfam family: Bacterial large subunit ribosomal RNA
Source: RNAcentral